RNAcentral lists this ribosomal RNA (501 nucleotides) under uncultured bacterium. Its description in RNAcentral is "partial 16S ribosomal RNA". It matches the Rfam family "Bacterial small subunit ribosomal RNA", at positions 30 to 523 of the family's 1533-position model. The record is from RNAcentral.
AUUGAACGCUGGCGGCAGGCUUAACACAUGCAAGUCGAGCGGGGGAAGGUAGCUUGCUACCGGACCUAGCGGCGGACGGGUGAGUAAUGCUUAGGAAUCUGCCUAUUAGUGGGGGACAACAUCUCGAAAGGGAUGCUAAUACCGCAUACGUCCUACGGGAGAAAGCAGGGGAUCUUCGGACCUUGCGCUAAUAGAUGAGCCUAAGUCGGAUUAGCUAGUUGGUGGGGUAAAGGCCUACCAAGGCGACGAUCUGUAGCGGGUCUGAGAGGAUGCUCCGCCACACUGGGACUGAGAAACGGCCCAGACUCCUACGGGAGGCAGCAGUUGGGAAUAUUGGACAAUGGGGGGAACCCUGAUCCAGCCAUGCCGCAUGUGUGAAGAAGGCCUUAUGGUUGUAAAGCACUUUAAGCGAGGAGGAGGUUACUCUAGUUAAUACCUAGGGAUAGUGGACGUUACUCGCAGAAUAAGCACCGGCUAACUCUGUGCCAGCCGCCGCCGUAA